This 448-nucleotide ribosomal RNA is filed under the name Geastrum floriforme. RNAcentral describes it as "partial small subunit ribosomal RNA". It matches the Rfam family "Bacterial small subunit ribosomal RNA", at positions 514 to 928 of the family's 1533-position model. The record is from RNAcentral. Lineage: Eukaryota; Fungi; Basidiomycota; Agaricomycetes; Geastrales; Geastraceae.
GACUCGGUAAGGCCAGAGACGCAAGCGUUAAUCAUCUUGAUCAGGCGUAAAGGGUAUGUAGGCUGCUUUAAAAAAAUAUAUGUAUAAUAAAGCUAUUAAAAAAAAAAUUUUUUUAUUAUAUAUGAUAAUUUAGAUUAUAAUUAAAGCUAGAAUCAAAUAGAGGUCACGACUUUAAAAAUGAAAGACAACUUCUAGUGGAAGGUCGAUAUCUGUAGAUAUUAGAAGGAGUACUAAUUAGCGAAAGCUCUUUUCCAUCUAAUGAUUGACGCUGAGAUACGAAGGGGAGGAUAGACAAUAGGAUUAGAUACCCUAGCAUCCCUCCCUGUAAACGAUGAAUGGUAGUUGCUAGAUGUAGAUAUAUUAGUGACGAUGCUAACGCGUUAACCAUUCCGCCUUGUAAGUACGGUCGCAAGUCUGAAAACAAAAAAAUUAGUCGGUUUCGGAGCAA